This 1046-nucleotide long non-coding RNA is filed under the name Lotus japonicus. RNAcentral describes it as "long non-coding RNA (LJAP_LNC000121)". The record is from RNAcentral. Lineage: Eukaryota; Viridiplantae; Streptophyta; Magnoliopsida; Fabales; Fabaceae.
AAAGACCUUAAAUCCCUCUUGCUUCAAAGCUUCAUAGAGAUUCCAGGUAAACCCAUAUCUAGUAUCUUCUCCUCUAAAGCUGAGAAAAAUCUGGUAUUGUUGUCUUGUAUAUCCCAAAUCAUCUACCUGUGCUUUUAACUCCGCUGUGGGCAUAUUGAUUGAGGAAGAUCCUACAUCUUGAGACUGGAAGGGAAAUGCUGAAUAACGUUUGGCAAUUAACAUCCUUGUUUCUGCUAUCUUCUCAGUGUACCAAUCUGAACUCUUCAUAAGAGUUGUUUCUUUUAAUUGCAGAUUGAUCUCUGUUAAGAAUUUAUUCAUUUCAUUUAUCUGCUCCUGAAGCUCUUUCUUGAAUCUAUCACCCACAUAAGGAUCAUCUGAAAUAUCAUCGGUAAUUAUCUUCAAGUCAACACAUUGUAGGUUAAUCAACAACCUUAUUUCACAGCGAAGUUCCUCAUGUAACUUAAUUAUUGCAGGUUCCACAUCUUGAGAAGAUUGGAGAGAAAUAAAUGCUGGUUCACAUUUGUCAAUCAUUGUCCUUGUUUCUGCUAUCUUGUUACGGUACCAAUCAGAAUUCGUCUCAGGAAUUUUUUCUAGUAACUGCACUUUGACCUUUUCUAAGAAUUGAUCCACUUCAUUUAUCCGCUGCAAAGCAUCUUUAGGUUUAUAUAGCUGACGAUCAUUUGUUGAAUGAAAGAGAGUACGCUGAGCAUAAUAUAUGUUAAUCAGCGAUGCUAUUUCAUAGUAGAGUUCUUCACGUAAUGAAAGUGGUACCAUAUUUAUUGAGGAAGAUCCAACAUCGCUUAAUCUUCCAAAAGUAAAAUUUGGGCCACGUUUGGCACACAAGUCCCUUAUUCUUGAUAUCAUGUAAUUGCACCAAUUGGAAUUUGUGUAAAGACUUUUAUCUAAAGCUUCCACUGCUAAGGCACUCUUUAAGAAUUUAUCCACUUCAUUUAUCCACACUGCAACUUCAAAGAAAUGUUUAUUUUGAUAAAUUCCUAUUGUAACAGAGGUCCAACGGUCUUCAUUUUGCUUCAUAACCAGCUCUG